This 270-nucleotide long non-coding RNA is filed under the name Hordeum vulgare. RNAcentral describes it as "long non-coding RNA (HVUL_LNC016476)". Lineage: Eukaryota; Viridiplantae; Streptophyta; Magnoliopsida; Poales; Poaceae. The record is from RNAcentral.
GAAUUUCGAGUGACAUUGUUCGUCGGGCUUCUGUAACCAAUUGACGGAAGUCGUGCUAUUGAAGGUGUUGUUUACUUGUUGUUGUGUUGAUUUUUAUUGGACGGUCUCGAUAUCCAUGAUGAAAAGAUGAUGUGGCAACGAUGGUGUAAGGACCUUCAUACCUUCUUGAAUGCAUUGUUGCGGCAGAAAUUGAAUUAGUUGUAGGUAAUCUUUUUUAUAUCUUUGUAAUGAUUUGACCGUGGUUGUAUUUGUUUUGUAUUCUGGCUAAUA